GUGAGGAAUAUUGCACAAUGGGCGAAAGCCUGAUGCAGCAACGCCGCGUGAGUGAUGAAGGCCUUUGGGUCGUAAAACUCUGUCCUUGGGGAAGAAAAAAAUGACGGUACCCUUGGAGGAAGCUCCGGCUAACUACGUGCCAGCAGCCGCGGUAAUACGUAGGGGGCAAGCGUUAUCCGGUAUUAUUGUGCGUAAAGAGUGCGUAGGUGGUUUUGUAAGCGUAGGGUGAAAGGCAGUAGCUCAACUAUUGUUAGCCCUGCGAACUGUGAGACUUGAGUGCAGGAGAGGAAAGUGUAAUUCCUAGUGUAGCGGUGAAAUGCGUAGAUAUUAGGAGGAACACCAGUGGCGAAGGCGACUUUCUGGACUGUAACUGACACUGAGGCACGAAAGCGUGGGUAGCAAACAGGAUUAGAUACCCUUGUAGUCC
This 427-nucleotide ribosomal RNA is filed under the name uncultured bacterium. RNAcentral's name for it is "partial 16S ribosomal RNA". It matches the Rfam family "Bacterial small subunit ribosomal RNA", at positions 354 to 796 of the family's 1533-position model. The record is from RNAcentral.